Molecule: ribosomal RNA, 434 nt
Filed under: uncultured bacterium
Lineage: Bacteria
Description: bacterial SSU rRNA
Rfam family: Bacterial small subunit ribosomal RNA
Source: RNAcentral
AACGAACGCUGGCGGCAUGCCUAACACAUGCAAGUCGAACGAACCCUUCGGGGUUAGUGGCGCACGGGUGCGUAACACGUGGGAAUCUGCCCUUAGGUUCGGAAUAACAGUUAGAAAUGACUGCUAAUACCGGAUGAUGACUUCGGUCCAAAGAUUUAUCGCCUAAGGAUGAGCCCGCGCAGGAUUAGCUAGUUGGUGAGGUAAAGGCUCACCAAGGCUACGAUCCUUAGCUGGUCUGAGAGGAUGAUCAGCCACACUGGGACUGAGACACGGCCCAGACUCCUACGGGAGGCAGCAGUGGGGAAUAUUGGACAAUGGGCGAAAGCCUGAUCCAGCAAUGCCGCGUGAGUGAUGAAGGCCCUAGGGUUGUAAAGCUCUUUUACCCGGGAUGAUAAUGACAGUACCGGGAGAAUAAGCUCCGGCUAACUCCGUGC